GAUGAACGCUGGCGGCGUGCCUAAUACAUGCAAGUCGAGCGAACAGACGAGGUGCUUGCUCCUCUGACGUUAGCGGCGGACGGGUUAGUAACUCGUGUAUCACCUACCUAUAAGACUUGUAUACUUUUGUGUAACCGUAUCUAAUUCCGGAUAAUAUAUUGAACCGCAUUGUUCAAUAGUGAAAUUCGGUUUUUCUUUCACUUAUAGAUGGCUCCGCGCCGCAUGAGCUAGUUGUUAAGGUAACGGCUUACCAAGGCAACGAUGCGUAGCCGACCUGAAGGGGUGAUCGGGCAAAAGGGAACAGAGAAACGGUCAAGACUCCUAAGGGAGGAAGCAGUAGGGAAUCUUACGAAAUGGGCGAGAGGCUGACGGAGCAAAGCCGCGUGAGUGAUGAAGGUCUUCGGAUCGGAAAAAUCUGUUAUUAGGGAAGAACAAAUGUGUAAGUAACUAUGCAGGUCUUGACGGUACCUAAUCAGAAAGCCACGGCUAACUACGUG
RNAcentral lists this ribosomal RNA (497 nucleotides) under uncultured bacterium. RNAcentral's name for it is "partial 16S ribosomal RNA". It matches the Rfam family "Bacterial small subunit ribosomal RNA", at positions 28 to 507 of the family's 1533-position model. The record is from RNAcentral.